This 351-nucleotide long non-coding RNA is filed under the name Mus musculus (house mouse). RNAcentral's name for it is "predicted gene 29426". Lineage: Eukaryota; Metazoa; Chordata; Mammalia; Rodentia; Muridae. The record is from RNAcentral.
CCUGGUGGUGCACGUCCCCAACCUUAUGUGGAUUUCCUAAAUUCUGCAAAAAAGGUUUGGAAGCUGAUCAAUCAAUACUGGAACUCCCUCUUCCCCAGAAGAGACAUCCUGGCCUCCAUGCAGAGGAAUGUGUGGAUGGACAUAUAUUUAAGGAAGACACUAAACCAGAAACUACUACAUUACACCCUCUUAGAAGACUUCUAAGAUUGUUGUCAUGCCUACCACAGACAUUCAGAUGAUGUGUAUUGUUGAUUGUGAUUUCAUGUUUGGACCUGAUGAAGGAGUUUGAAGUCUCCAGAGCAGCAAAGAGAGUGGGGAGUAGAACUAUUCAUCUUUAGGUCACUCAUCAUC